UAUGAAACUGUGAUUCCACGUCAU
Molecule: microRNA, 24 nt
Filed under: Gossypium hirsutum (cotton)
Lineage: Eukaryota; Viridiplantae; Streptophyta; Magnoliopsida; Malvales; Malvaceae
Description: ghr-miR7504a
Source: miRBase by way of RNAcentral